GAGUUUGAUCGUGGCUCAGAUUGAACGCUGGCGGCAUGCCUUACACAUGCAAGUCGAACGGCAGCAUGAUCUAGCUUGCUAGAUUGAUGGCGAGUGGCGAACGGGUGAGUAAUACAUCGGAACGUGCCCUGUAGUGGGGGAUAACUAGUCGAAAGAUUAGCUAAUACCGCAUACGACCUGAGGGUGAAAGUGGGGGACCGCAAGGCCUCAUGCUAUAGGAGCGGCCGAUGUCUGAUUAGCUAGUUGGUGGGGUAAAGGCCCACCAAGGCGACGAUCAGUAGCUGGUCUGAGAGGACGAUCAGCCACACUGGGACUGAGACACGGCCCAGACUCCUACGGGAGGCAGCAGUGGGGAAUUUUGGACAAUGGGCGAAAGCCUGAUCCAGCAAUGCCGCGUGUGUGAAGAAGGCCUCGGUGUAG
Molecule: ribosomal RNA, 420 nt
Filed under: uncultured microorganism
Description: bacterial SSU rRNA
Rfam family: Bacterial small subunit ribosomal RNA
Source: RNAcentral